RNAcentral lists this ribosomal RNA (171 nucleotides) under uncultured bacterium. Its description in RNAcentral is "partial 16S ribosomal RNA". It matches the Rfam family "Bacterial small subunit ribosomal RNA", at positions 1330 to 1500 of the family's 1533-position model. The record is from RNAcentral.
AAUUGCUAGUAAUCGUGGAUCAGCAUGCCACGGUGAAUACGUUCCCGGGUCUUGUACACACCGCCCGUCACACCAUGGGAGUCGGUAACACCCGAAGUCAGUAGUCUAACCGCAAGGAGGACGCUGCCGAAGGUGGGAUUGACGACUGGGGUGAAGUCGUAACAAGGUAUC